RNAcentral lists this ribosomal RNA (288 nucleotides) under Triticum aestivum (bread wheat). Its description in RNAcentral is "partial small subunit ribosomal RNA". Lineage: Eukaryota; Viridiplantae; Streptophyta; Magnoliopsida; Poales; Poaceae. The record is from RNAcentral.
GUCGCUCCCCCGUCGCGCCGGCGCGGGCGACACGAGCGCCUUCUUCGUGGCGACGCUGGUGUUGUGGGCCGUGUCGGUGGGGUUCGAGAUCGGCGCCCUGGGCCGCCGCGAGCUGCUGACCGCGGCCGCCUGCUUCGCCUUCUUCCAAACCCGCUCUUCGUCAACACUGCCGUCUCGCUCCUCCACUCCUCCCUCACCCUCCGCCUCAGUCAGUAUGUUCCAUUGAUGCUGCAAUAUAUGUGCAGUUAUCUUUGUUCUGUUGUGCCAAUGGUGUACCAAGGGCCUUGA